This 786-nucleotide long non-coding RNA is filed under the name Homo sapiens (human). Its description in RNAcentral is "non-protein coding lnc-DONSON-1:2". Lineage: Eukaryota; Metazoa; Chordata; Mammalia; Primates; Hominidae. The record is from RNAcentral.
CAAAAGGUUGAGAGAUGAUCUUAAUUUUCCUUUUCUUUACAUUUUCAUGAAGGCACGGAGUGUGAAUGUGAAGACACAAGCUCUUUCUGGAUACAGAGACCAAUUUAGUUUGGAGAUUACAGGUCCUAUCAUGCCUCAUUCUCUGCAUUCACUGACCAUGCUGCUCAAAUCUUCACAGAGUGGAUCUUUCUCUGCAGUACUGUAUCCACACGAGCCAACUGCUGUAUUUAACAUCUGCCUGCAAAUGGACAAAGUACUUGAUAUGGAGGUUGUUCAUAAGGAGCUUACUAACUGUGGUUUGCACCCUAACACUCUGGAGCAACUUAGUCAAAUACCGUUACUUGGGAAAUCAUCUUUACGGAAUGUGGUGCUGAGAGACUACAUUUAUAAUUGGAGAUCCUGAACACCAAAGUAAGCCUAAAAGGAAUCUUUGAGGAAAAAAGCCUUCUAGCAAGGAAAUUCAAGAUUCUUGAAGUUGAAGGAAUAUACUGAAAUGUUUAUAAACAUAACUUUUACUACAGUAGCAUCUAAGGUUUUAAAUGUGUUUUACUAUUUUCAGAUUAGAUUUUUAGAUAUAAAGAUGAAAAACUCAGAUAACUCAAAUGAGAUAUCUAUAUCCCUACAACCUAAUUGUAUAUUGAGCAGAAACUGAAUUAAUAUGCUUCCUUGCAAAUGGGAAAUCACAUAGCAGUUACCCCAUGGCAUUGUGACUAAUGGCAUCAGGGCAAAAAUAUGUUACUUUACGAUUUACCUGUUAGCAGGUUCUUGUUUCAUAAAGGUAGAAAA